GAUGGACGCUGGCGGCGUGCUUAACACAUGCAAGUCGAACGGUGAACACGGAGCUUGCUCUGUGGGAUCAGUGGCGAACGGGUGAGUAACACGUGAGCAACCUGCCCCUGACUCUGGGAUAAGCGCUGGAAACGGCGUCUAAUACUGGAUAUGUGACGUGACCGCAUGGUCUGCGUUUGGAAAGAUUUUUCGGUUGGGGAUGGGCUCGCGGCCUAUCAGCUUGUUGGUGAGGUAAUGGCUCACCAAGGCGUCGACGGGUAGCCGGCCUGAGAGGGUGACCGGCCACACUGGGACUGAGACACGGCCCAGACUCCUACGGGAGGCAGCAGUGGGGAAUAUUGCACAAUGGGCGCAAGCCUGAUGCAGCAACGCCGCGUGAGGGAUGACGGCCUUCGGGUUGUAAACCUCUUUUAGCAGGGAAGAAGCGAAAGUGACGGUACCUGCAGAAAAAGCGCCGGCUAACUACGUG
Molecule: ribosomal RNA, 469 nt
Filed under: uncultured bacterium
Lineage: Bacteria
Description: partial 16S ribosomal RNA
Rfam family: Bacterial small subunit ribosomal RNA
Source: RNAcentral